RNAcentral lists this ribosomal RNA (497 nucleotides) under uncultured bacterium. RNAcentral's name for it is "partial 16S ribosomal RNA". It matches the Rfam family "Bacterial small subunit ribosomal RNA", at positions 28 to 507 of the family's 1533-position model. The record is from RNAcentral.
GAUGAACGCUGGCGGCGUGCCUAAUACAUGCAAGUCGAGCGAACGGACGAGAAGCUUGCUUCUCUGAUGUUAGCGGCGGACGGGUGAGUAACACGUGGAUAACCUACCUAUAAGACUGGGAUAACUUCGGGAAACCGGAGCUAAUACCGGAUAAUAUUUUGAACCGCAUGGUUCAAAAGUGAAAGACGGUCUUGCUGUCACUUAUAGAUGGAUCCGCGCUGCAUUAGCUAGUUGGUAAGGUAACGGCUUACCAAGGCAACGAUGCAUAGCCGACCUGAGAGGGUGAUCAGCCACACUGGAACUGAGACACGGUCCAGACUCCUACGGGAGGCAGCAGUAGGGAAUCUUCGGCAAUGGGCGAAAGCCUGACGGAGCAACGCCGCGUGAGUGAUGAAGGUCUUCGGAUCGUAAAACUCUGUUAUUAGGGAAGAACAUAUGUGUAAGUAACUGUGCACAUCUUGACGGUACCUAAUCAGAAAGCAACGGCUAACUACGUG